Molecule: ribosomal RNA, 400 nt
Filed under: uncultured bacterium
Lineage: Bacteria
Description: bacterial SSU rRNA
Rfam family: Bacterial small subunit ribosomal RNA
Source: RNAcentral
UGGGGAAUAUUGGACAAUGGGCGCAAGCCUGAUCCAGCCACGCCGCGUGAGUGAUGAAGGCCUUCGGGUUGUAAAGCUCUGUGGGGAGGGACGAAAACGGCCGGAACUAAUACGUCCGGUCCUUGACGGUACCUCCUUAGCAAGCACCGGCUAACUCUGUGCCAGCAGCCGCGGUAAUACAGAGGGUGCGAACGUUGCUCGGAAUUACUGGGCGUAAAGCGCGUGUAGGCGGGUUCGUAAGCCAGAUGUGAAAUCCCCAGGCUCAACCUGGGAACUGCAUCUGGAACUGUGAGCCUUGAGUGCCGGAGAGGGUGGCAGAAUUCCUGGUGUAGAGGUGAAAUUCGUAGAUAUCAGGAGGAACACCGGUGGCGAAGGCGGCCACCUGGACGGCAACUGACGC